Molecule: ribosomal RNA, 253 nt
Filed under: uncultured bacterium
Lineage: Bacteria
Description: partial 16S ribosomal RNA
Rfam family: Bacterial small subunit ribosomal RNA
Source: RNAcentral
UACGAAGGGGGCUAGCGUUGCUCGGAAUCACUGGGCGUAAAGGGUGCGUAGGCGGGUCUUAAGUCAGGGGUGAAAUCCUGGAGCUCAACUCCAGAACUGCCUUCGAUACUGGAGAGCUCGAGUCCGGGAGAGGUGAGUGGAACUGCGAGUGUAGAGGUGAAAUUCGUAGAUAUUCGCAAGAACACCAGUGGCGAAGGCGGCUCACUGGCCCGAUACUGACGCUGAGGCACGAAAGCGUGGGGAGCAAACAGGG